UAGCGGGAGGCUUAAUACAUGCAAGUCGAGCGGUAAGGUUUUCGGACCCUAGAGCGGCGAACGGGUGAGUAACGCGUACGAAACCUACCUUUAAGAGAGGAAUAGCCCUGAGAAACUGGGAGUAAUACCUCAUAGUAUUCAUUUUACCGCAUGGUUUAUGGAUUAAAGCUUAGGCGCUUAAAGAUGGUCGUGCGUCUGAUUAGCUAGUUGGUAGGGUAACGGCCUACCAAGGCUACGAUCAGUAGGGGCGUGAGAGCGUGGCCCCCCACACGGGUACUGAGACACGGACCCGACUCC
This 297-nucleotide ribosomal RNA is filed under the name uncultured bacterium. RNAcentral's name for it is "partial 16S ribosomal RNA". It matches the Rfam family "Bacterial small subunit ribosomal RNA", at positions 37 to 339 of the family's 1533-position model. The record is from RNAcentral.